ACGGAAGGCAGCAGUGAGGAAUAUUGGUCAAUGGUCGGAAGACUGAACCAGCCAAGUCGCGUGCAGGAAGACGGUCCUAUGGAUUGUAAACUGCUUCUGCGCGGGGGUAAAGUCGGGGACGGGUCCCCGAUUGCAAGUACCGCGCGAAAAAGGAUCGGCUAACUCCGUGCCAGCAGCCGCGGUAAUACGGAGGAUCCGAGUGUUAUCCGGAUUUAUUGGGUUUAAAGGGUGCGCAGGCGGGAUGUCAAGUCAGUGGUGAAAUGGUGCGGCUCAACCGUAGCAUUGCCGUUGAAACUGGCGUCCUUGAGUGCGAAUGAGGUACGCGGAACGUGUCAUGUAGCGGUGAAAUGCAUAGAUAUGACACAGAACACCGAUUGCGAAGGCAGCGUACUGGGACGCGACUGACGCUGAGGCACGAAAGUGCGGGGAUCGAACAGGAUUAGAUACCCUGGUA
RNAcentral lists this ribosomal RNA (454 nucleotides) under uncultured Porphyromonadaceae bacterium. RNAcentral's name for it is "bacterial SSU rRNA". It matches the Rfam family "Bacterial small subunit ribosomal RNA", at positions 341 to 792 of the family's 1533-position model. The record is from RNAcentral. Lineage: Bacteria; Pseudomonadati; Bacteroidota; Bacteroidia; Bacteroidales; Porphyromonadaceae.